UCCCUGGUGGCUCAGAGGGUAAAGCGUCCGCCUGCAAUGUGGGAGACCCGGGUUUGAUCCCUGGGUCGGGAA
This 72-nucleotide transfer RNA is filed under the name Ovis aries (sheep). It matches the Rfam family "tRNA". Rfam says of the family: Transfer RNA (tRNA) molecules are approximately 80 nucleotides in length. Their secondary structure includes four short double-helical elements and three loops (D, anti-codon, and T loops). Further hydrogen bonds mediate the characteristic L-shaped molecular structure. tRNAs have two regions of fundamental functional importance: the anti-codon, which is responsible for specific mRNA codon recognition, and the 3' end, to which the tRNAs corresponding amino acid is attached (by aminoacyl-tRNA synthetases). tRNAs cope with the degeneracy of the genetic code in two manners: having more than one tRNA (with a specific anti-codon) for a particular amino acid; and 'wobble' base-pairing, i.e. permitting non-standard base-pairing at the 3rd anti-codon position. The record is from Rfam by way of RNAcentral. Lineage: Eukaryota; Metazoa; Chordata; Mammalia; Artiodactyla; Bovidae.